UUUUUUUCCUUUUCUUUCUUCAUUCCUUCUAGUAGAAGAGGGAUGCGGAAGAUUUUCUCAUAGAAUUAGUUUAGAAAGUAAUAAAAAGAGGUAAUAAUUAUGUUCCUAAACUGGCUGGAACCAAAAUAUGCGGUGGUAGAACAGUUGCAUCUAGUGGAGUCAUUUGUCUUGAAACAAGGAACGUCUACCAUCCACCAAAUGUCCCAUUGACCUUCUACUGGGCUGGUAGAACAGAGUUUGCACUGGAAAUCUGCAGGCUGACUCCAGGGCAGACUGAUCAAAGUGGAAUUAUUCAUCCAUCCACUGGACUCCACGCCCUAGUGACAGCCACAUGCCCAUCCUGCAGGGACAAGAGCAUGAGCUCCAGCACUGGUGAAGCCUGGUUUCCUGUGGAUGAUCCUCGAGGCCAUUCUCCUGGGAUUAUUCUGGGACUGUGUGGACCAGAUACGCACUUCAUGCAGAAAGGAGAUGACACUUUGAGAAUGGCAGCACUGGGUCUCUCAUUUCCUCUACAUUUCAUGUCACUGAGCCUAUCCUGCUGGAAAUUAUCCACACCACAUAGUUUUAUUCUGAGUCUAACUCCAUGGGCUGCUUUAACACUAAUAAUAAUUCUAAGAAGGGAAAGUAAUUAACUCCAGGAUAACAUGCUCCAUGUGUAGCAGUCAUAUCCACUUGUAACGAUACAGAUUUGUAUAGUUUUGUUAUCAGAUUAUAUAGUAUUGGAUUACAUUUACAAUAACCACAACUUAAAAAAAUAAAUAAAUAAAAAUUAAAAAAAAAAAAGAGAGAAAUGUUUUGCAUGAAGGUGGAUUGAAUCUUGUAAGAAAUCUUUUUCCCAGUUUUCUUGCCUCUAAGAAGGCCAUACUGAUAGCAUUUCUUGGGCCUGGCCAAAGACUUUCAAACAUCGAGUUGUGAACAGCCUCCUCCCAGCUGUCUCCUGUGGUAAUUAGUCUUCCAUCA
RNAcentral lists this long non-coding RNA (960 nucleotides) under Anas zonorhyncha (Eastern spot-billed duck). Its description in RNAcentral is "lncRNA (ENSAZOG00000002409.1)". The record is from RNAcentral. Lineage: Eukaryota; Metazoa; Chordata; Aves; Anseriformes; Anatidae.